This 253-nucleotide ribosomal RNA is filed under the name uncultured bacterium. Its description in RNAcentral is "partial 16S ribosomal RNA". It matches the Rfam family "Bacterial small subunit ribosomal RNA", at positions 524 to 776 of the family's 1533-position model. The record is from RNAcentral.
UACGUAGGGUGCGAGCGUUAAUCGGAAUUACUGGGCGUAAAGCGUGCGCAGGCUGUUUUGUAAGUCAGAUGUGAAAUCCCCGAGCUCAACUUGGGAACUGCGUUUGAAACUACAAGACUAGAAUAUGGCAGAGGGGGGUAGAAUUCCACGUGUAGCAGUGAAAUGCGUAGAGAUGUGGAGGAAUACCAAUGGCGAAGGCAGCCCCCUGGGAUAAUAUUGACGCUCAUGCACGAAAGCGUGGGGAGCAAACAGG